GAAGCCAGCACCAUCAAGGCCAGGCUCGGAUGGACACCAUAAUCGAAGUGGACCUCCUGGGGUUAAUCAAGUGAGGAAUAAUGAAUAUGGAAGUUCUGAAAAUAAUAGUAUUUCAGAUCAUCGGGGAGAAGAUGAGAUUCAUGAUCGAGAGGUCAUGCCUCAACAAGGGAACUCAGGGGAGACUCAAAAUAAAUCAAAACUUGGGCAUGGAGAUGAAGUUCAUGAAAGGGAUGCAGUUGAACCAAAGGAUAAAUAUCAUGUAAAAAAUGUGUCUAACAAGGAUGAUUCAGCUGGUCAGUUACCUCAAGAUUCUACUAAAAAGCUGGACAAGGAGAAGAUUAAAGCUGCCUUGUUCGAGAGAAGGAAAGUUCGGGGAGAUAUAAUUCGUAAAAUAGAUCCCUUGGACGAGCUUGAGAGGGAACUGGAAGAUGUGGAAGUCCCAGGCGACAGCAAUAAGACUAAACGCGAAAGAAAGCAAAGUUGGCCCAAGCCUUCAAGGCCAGAGCUUGAGAACACUCAGAGCACCAAAUACAGCAAUGAGGCUGGAGACUCAGAUUUCCCAGCAAUGACGCGUCAAUCCUCACAUGAAGAUGAUUUUGAUACUGUUGAAGAGGGGGAAGUUGAACCAUCUGAUGAGGUUGACCGGGAAUAUCGGUCACCUAGGUCAAUCCGCAAGAGGAAGCCUAGUAGCCCCCUGGAUAGGAAUGGGUUGGGGAGGCAUGGGUAUUCAGAAAGAGACCACAAACGGCAUGUGCAGGAGAACCAUGUAUGAAAAGAAUCGACUAAUUGCUUUUGCAUAGCUAUUGCUGGUCAUGGUUACUGACGGCAGAAAACAGAGAGAAUUGGAUAAGGAGCUACUUUGACAAGAUCAAGGGCUCUUGAUAUUAAGGUUGAUUGUUUGGAUCAUUCUCUGCAUAUGAUUUACCUGCUUGAACAGAAGUUCCAGGUUAAAUGUUGAGGAACCAAUUAAGGUGGUUAUAUAAUUUAUCAUUGGCCUCGAGUUGGCACAGAUAAAGAGAGAAGAUGCAAGAUUCGAUUUCUGCCAUUUAAGGUGAUGACUAAUAUGUAUUCAACUUAUAAUGGUAACGAGCAAAAAAGAGUAAGGGAGAAAAUUUGUUUGAGUUUUGGUGGAGUGUGACAUUCUGCUCCCUUCUUCAUGUUGACAUUUUCCUGUAGAACAUCCAUAAAUUUUCAUUAGUAUUGGUGCUGUAUUUCCUAUCAUCCCUGAUAACGUAUGCGAUGAGUCUCUUAAAAACACAUAUCAGAAAGCCCACCCUUUUUAUUAGUAAUUGUAAAAAAACGACAACCUUCAUGUGUUAGAUUGAUAUACUUUAAUGAUUUAUUUGUAUGUUACUCCCUUCAUUCCACCAUAAGUGACAUAAAAUUUUUGGGUAGCAAAUUAAGAAAAAAGUGUAAAUUGGUUAAAAGUGGUAGAAGUUAUACUCAUCCGUCCCACUCUAAUAGUCAUGUUUUCCUUUUCGGGACGUUCCACCCAAUAGUCCAGUUUCUAUUUUUGGUAAUGAUUUUACACUACAAACAAUGUGGUUAGAUUUUAUCAUUUAUGAAAAUAAGUCAUUUAUAGUGGGACAGUUCAAAAUGUAAUGCAUGCCAUUUUUAAUGGGGACGGAGGAAAUAUUACUUAUAUUGGCCAGCUAGCCCACCCUUGGGUGUUAGUCAACUUGAUACUCCGUCUCAUUGUCGUUGGUUUUUUUUUUUUUUGGAGUGUCUCAUUAAUAUUGGUCUGUUCCUAUUUUUGGUAAUGAUUUUACACUAUAAACAAUGUGAUCCUACACAACUUGUACAUAUUUAAUACUACAAUCUUAUUCUUCUAAAUACUCGUGCCCAAAAUAAAUCGGCCAAUAGUAAUGAAACGGGGGAAGUACUUCUUUAGUACGUUGUUCGUGCACCAAAAAAAAUACUCCCUAUUUAGUAAUAGUAUGCAAUUUAAUACUAGUUGAAUAUGUUGUGAUAAAAAUAAAUGUCACAUUUUUAUUAUAAUUUUAAACAGUUUAAUAUAGUUGGGUGGUGGAUCCAAAAUGAUACUAUAGUCUAUAGAUAAAUAAGAAGUAAAAUUGAGGAUUAUAAUUAAACUAGUACGCACUUCCAUCGAUGCAUGACCACGAUAUAUUUUAUUAUUUUAAAAUUUUAAAUUGUAUAAAAAUGUCGUUAAAUUAAUUGGUAAGUGGUAACAGAAAAAAAUUAUGUUAAUAUAAAUAUUAGUAUUUGAUUUAAAACUGUAUAAUAACAAUAUUAUUAACUUAAUGAGUAUCACAUUAAAUUUGAUGAGCAUUGUUUAAUAAUAAUAAAAUAUGUAUAAUAAUAAUAAAAAAAUUAUAAAUUAUAAGGCAAAUAAUUUAAGUCAAUCUUAUUUUGAACAAAUAACACAAAACAUCAAUAUAACAAAAUAAUAGCCGUCAUUUAAUAUAACAAUUCUGGGAUCUUAAAAGUCCAAACUAUAUUAUUAUUAAAAGUUCAUAUUUAAAUAACCCAAAACUAAUUAAAAAUCAUAAAAAUACGAAUAAUAUAAAAAGGAAAAUAUGACAAUGAUUAUGUUUAUAUAAAAAGAAAAAUAUGACAACGAUUAAAACUAACACUUUUAAUGCACGUAAAUGACAUUUUUAAUGCAUACAAAUGAUACUUUUGAAUGAAACGAUAAAUGAUACUUCGCAAAUGACAUUUUUAAUAACAGAAAAAUGAUACUUUUAAUGAUCGCAAAUGACACUUUUAAUGUAUGCAAAUGAUACUUCAAAAAUGAUAUUUUUAAUAAAAUCAAAUGAUAUUUUGUGUAAAAUUAAAUGAUAUAUUAACAAUGACAUUUUUAAUGCACGCAAAUGGCACUUUUACUUACAGUAAAUGAUAAUAUUGAUUAUUUUUUAAAUUAAUUAAAUUAUAUACUAUUUUUUAUGUAAAUGAUACAACUAUUUACUUUAAUAAAUAUACUUUUAUAUAUGUAAAUUGCAUUUUCAAUAUAUAUAAAAGCUUGAAUCGAGGUCGAACCGAGCUCAAUCACCCAAAUAUUUAAACGAGCCAAGCUCGAGCUUGUUAGUAUUCGACUCGUUUACAGCCCUAAUUACUGGACCCACCAUUCAACCAAAUUAGUUAAUUCAAAAUACAAUAAAAAUGGAGCCCUUAUUCCACCCACUCAACCCAUCUAUACAUCUAUAUCUAUAUAGAAUAUAAAAGAGGAGUUUUUUACCAUCAGAUUUUAUCUCUACUUUCAAUUUUACCACCAAAAUUUAUCUCUCUUCCUUUCGUGCAUUCGUCCGUCCACAAUAAGUAUUGUCUUUCAUUAUAUAAACAUAUUCCUUUUCAUAUUAUUCGUAUUUUUCUUGAUUUUUAAUUAGUUUUGAGCUAUUAAAUAAUGAAGUUUUUAAAUAAUAAUAAUACAGUUUGGACUUUUAAAGCCCAUAAUUAUUAUAUUAAACGAUGACUGUUAAUUUUAUUAUAUUAAUUGUUUAAUGUUAUUUGCUCAAAAUGAGAUUGACUUAAAUUAUUUACUUUACAAUCUAUAAAUUUAAUUAUUAUUAUACACUGCUCAUUAAAUUUAAUAUUAUACUUAUUAAAAUGAUAAUAUUGUUAUAUACACUAUUUUAAAUUACAUACUAAUAUUUAAAUUUACAUAUUUUUUUGUUACCGAUUAAUCUAACUCGUAAAUAAUGACACUUUGACAUUUUUACAUAAUUUAAAAAUUUUAAAAUAAAUAAAUAUAUUGUGGCUCGUGCAUCACGCGUAGGGUGGAUUAAUGAUAAAUGAAAAAGAUAUUUGUGUUUAUAUAUUUCCUAUCUAGGGAUGUCAAUCUAGUCUAAAAUCCGUGGGCUGACCCAAUUAGACCGUCAAUUCGAGAGGGUUAGGGCUAAAAAAUUUCAACACGAUAAAAUUACAAUUCGAAUAACCCGUUAUUAACUGAAUAGCCCGACACCUAGUAGAGUUGGCCAAAAAAUAACCAGAAACCCUAUAGGACUGACCCAAAGAUAAUGUAUUCGCUUGAUUAUAUGAAAAUUUUCUCGUUAUUUGAUUUUCAAUUUCAUUACUUUACCUAUGAAAAUUAAUAUAAUAAAAUAUUUUUCCAAAAGUUUGUAAUGUAUUUUGAUUCUACAUUAGAUAAUUAUACUCAUUAUUUCAGUUUUCUAUAUUUUUAAUUUAAUACUUAAUAUAAAAUAUUUAGAUAUGAAAAUUAAAAAAUGAUAAUUAAUUAACAAAAAUGUUGAAUAUUUAUAUCUCUAAGAGUUGCAAAUUAGUUAUUAUCUAAGUUGAUGUUAAAUUGUUACUUAUUUAUGUGUGUGAUUGUUUUAUUACAAAUAUAAUAUUGCCAAUAGAAUUAAGUUGUACUCCAAUAGGCUCAUUUUCCUUUUUGGGAUGUCCCACUCCAAUAGCCUCAUUUUCCUUUUUGGGUAAAAGAGUUGUACUUAAUUGGCGUGGACCACACCACUUUACUACCAUUUUCCUACUAAAAAGUAAGUUUUCUUAAUAUCUGUGCCCAAAAGAAAUGAGCCUAUUGGAGUGGGACGGAUGGAGUAUUAGUUAUUUUAAAAAAAAUAAUUUUUUGAGCCCGACUAGACCGAUGGACUAGCCUGAAACUCGAACGUUUAUGAUUAGUGUUGAAAAUUUUUAAUCCGAAUUUUCAACCCGAUUAACCCGCAUUUGAAUAACUCGAUAAUUCGAUAGGGUUAGUCUGAAACUUAAGGGGUUAGCCUGAUUGACAUCGCUAUUUCUACCUCUCUCAAUAUAUUUUCUAACUAUUUAUAUUGUUUUUAUCUGCACACAUUAUUUCCCACCAAAAAUUUUCAGUUGUGUUUACUUUUUAUCCCUCUAAAUAGAUGGAUAAUAUAAUGAGGUAUAAAUUUAUCAUUUAAAAUAUAAAUUACAAUUUUUUUUAUUUGAUUUGAUGAUAAUAUAUCUUCCAGUGUUCAUAAGGUGGUAUAAAAUUAUACCAUCCCCCUUUAGUUAUAGAAUUAUCUUUUUUCCAAAGGAUAAGGUGUUGCCCGGAAAUUUAUACCAUCUACCUAAAUUUUAUAUUACGUCAAACCAAACAAGGUAUAAAACGGUAAAUAGAGUUUUUCUCUUUCUUAUACAUCAAAGCAAACACAUCCUAAGUCUAAUGAUAAAUCACAUACUCCCUCCGUCAAACAAAUAGUUCAUUUUUGCCAUUUUAGGAUGUCCACAAAAAAUAGUUCAUUUUCAUUUUUAGAAACUAUGUACUCUUUCCGUCCCGAUUCAAUAGGUCACAAGCCUUGGAUACGAAUGUUAAGAAACGAAUAAUUUAUAAUAAAAUAGGAGAGAAAGUAACUUUCAUUCAGGAUAUAUGUGUUCAAAAAGUAGGAGAGAGAAAUAAAGAAAAGAUAAUUAUGUGUGGCAUUUGGUGUAAAUAAUGGGUUGUAUGAGGAUAUUUGUUAUGUGUUGACUUUUCAUUUUUGGAAAAAGACCUAUUCAAUUGAGACGUUCAAAUAAGCAAAUAUGGCCUAUUGAAUUGAGACGGAAGGAUAUAUGGCCCUAUUCUCCAUUCACAAUUAAUGGUAAAUGUCACUUUCUGUCCCAUCGUUUCAACGAAUUCUCAAAAAUGUCCUACCCUAACGAUAAUAUCAAAAUGGCACCCAACCUAUCACAAAAAUAUCAUCCGUGUCCUGCAAAUUUUUUUCGGGAAUCGAAAACUUACGUGGAUUGUCGGACUUACACCAUGGCAAAUCCACGUGGACUCAUUUAAUCUAGGUGGAAUUAAUUUUUUUGCAGCCAUUUAAAAAGCCCUAAACGACAGUGUUUCAGCCGUUCUUCUUCUCCUCUGCGUAAGAAAAAUUCAGACGCAAGAUUCUUCAAAGUUUGUUCCUGAAAAAAACGCGGUUGUCUUCAUCUUCUUGAAAUCGCGGCGGCUUUCUUCGUCUUCUUCAAAUCGCGCAUGAAAAGUUGGCGGCUGCUGAAGAAGCCCUAACACCUGCGGUGGCCUGAAGAAGCCCUAGAGGCGUCUGAAAAUUUUCAGUAGGUAUCGCCAUCCCCAAUCGCGGUGUUCUUUAAUCUACUUCUUCAGCUUCUUUCUGCAUAUUUGUUCCUAAAUUCCAUUCGAAAAUUUCCAGCAUGAACUCGAUCCUAAUUUGAAUAAUUUUUCAAAAAUUCCCAAAUUUCUUGUAUCUGCUGCUAUGUCUAAUUUGAUGGAAUCAGUUUUCGAAUUAGUUUGUAAUGAUGGAAAUUCCAUGGCUGCCUUUAAAUUUUCGAAAAUUCCCAAAUUUCUACAUAUUGCACAGAAUACAUCUACAUUCUGAAAUGGAUUCUCUAAUACUCCUCAACAUAUUUUUUUGCAGAUGUAAUAUAAUGGAUAAACUUGUGGUUAGGCUUAGAUUGUGGCAUGGAGGGUCUUUUCUCAAUGAUAGAGAGUAUGAAUUCAAAGAAGCAUUUGAUAUUCCCGAGUAUGACAUAUUUGAAUGGGAGGAUGCUUUUCUUAAUGAGUUGGUGGUUGUUGAUUUUGGGUAUGAUGACGUAGGUAGAUAUGCAUUUAGAGAUAAAAUCAGUGGCCAGUUUGUGUUUGUGGAUCCGUAUGAUGACAAGGCUGAUUUUGUGUCUCUUGCAUUAACAUUUGUGGAUGAUGAAACAAAGAUCUUGGAAAUAUUUUGUGACUGUAAGAAAGAAGAAAAUGAGGAUGGGGGACCAACUGUUGAGAAAAAGGGUAAAGAAAGGUGGUAGAAGAGGGGCGGCCAACUGUCGACGAAAAGGGUAAAGAAAAGGUGGUAGAAGUUGAUGUAGGUGAGUGGGGACCAACUGUGGAGGAGGAGGUACCAACUGAUUCAGAUCCUGACUUUGAUGAGAGGGCCUUUGGAGAUGAUUAUAGUUGUGAUGAUGGGCUGGAAGACAUAGACUUUUCGGACGAUGAUGGUGAAUUUCUCGAAGCAAGAAAGAAUGGCAUAACACGAAAAAAUGACAAAGGCAAGAGUGUUGUGCAGUCUUGUGAAAUUGAGAGUGUGAAGGCAACAUUGCAAGCAAAAGAUGUCAAAGAUGAGGAUGAGCUGGACUCAGACGCUUCUUGUGAAAGCACUGAUGUUGAAGGCAAGAGAAAGAACAAGUUUAAGUUGUACUCGAAGAAUAUUCAUUUCAAGGACCUGAAGAUAGAACUUGGAAUGAGAUUUAAAGAUCCUAAGGAAUGUCAAAAUGUAGUUAAGUAGUGGGCUGUUGCAAAUAGAUACAACAUUAGGUGGACAAAGAGUGCCCAUGGGAAAGUCCAAGCCGUUUGUGUAGAUGGAUGUGAGUGGCGGUUGUAUGCUUCAAAGAUCCAUGGAGAGCCGACAUGCAUAAUCAAGACUCUAACUGGUGAGCACACAUGUGUACGGGCUGCUUCCAAUCGACAAGUAAGUUCGAAGUUCGUGGCAAACCAUUAUAUGGAGAAGAUCAGGAGCAAUGUCAACAUCACAAUCAAAGACAUGAUAAACAAGUUGCGCGUGACUUUCGGAGUCACUGUUAGGCCAGUGACGUGCUAUAGAGGGAGAAAGAUGGCAUUGGAAUCCAUAAGAGGUACAUUUGAUCAGCAUUAUGCGAAGCUAAGAUCAUAUGUUUCAGAGUUGAUGAUGUUAGAUAAGGAGGGGCGUUUUGAGUUGAAGACUUAUCUUGAUAAGCACGAUCGACCAGUGUUUGAGAUAUUCUAUGUAGGUUUUUCAGCCCUACGUAAAGGGUUUCUUGUUGGCUGCCGAAAGUAUAUUGGGUUUGAUGCAUGCUUCUUGAAGAUGGUGCUAGGAGGAGCAUUGUUAGCCGCUGUUUCUAAAGGUUGCAAUAAUCAGAUGUACCCCGUUGUGUGGGCCGUUGUAGAGAAAGAAAAUGAGGAAAGUUGGACGUGGUUUUUUGAGCAUCUCUUUGAAGAAUUACACAUUGGUGACGGCUUAGGAUGGACCUUUAUGAGCGAUAAGCAAAAUGUAUGCCUGCCUCUUUUAGAUCAUCAUUAAUGCAUGUUAGUGGGAUUAAUCUUUACUCAAGUCUAAUGUGGAUAGUGCUAAAACAAUUUGAUUUGAGUUCAUUUUCUCAAAUUGAUUAGGUUAAACAAAAGCUGCUUUCUUACUCAAUUUGAUUAGCCUUUAACUGCCUUGUUGUGUUUUAUGCAGUAGCUUUUUUGUUGAUUUAUGCAGUAGCCUUUAAGUGCAUUUUUCGUGAUUUAUGCAGUAGCAUUUUGUUGAUUUAUGAAGUAGCCUUUAAGUGCAUUUUUGUGAUUUAUGCAGUAGCUUUUUGUUGAUUUAUGCAGUGCAUUUCUCAUAAAAUUCGUUUAUGUAUAGGGGUUGAUAAAUGGCAUUCAGAAACUUGCACCACAUAGUGAGCGCAGAUAUUGUGCAAGACACAUAUAUGCCAACUGGAAGAAGAAUUUUAGUGGCCCGAAGUACAAGGCGUUGUUUUGGAAUAUUGUGAAGGUAACAUGCAAGGUAGACUACGAGUGGGCAUUGAACGAGUUGAAGAAAAACAGCACAGAGACUGCCAAUGACUUUGAAGCACGAGGUCCAGCUGCAUUUUGCAAGGCUUUGGUAAAUUCCUUCACAAAAACUGACCUUGUGGACAAUAAUGUAAGUGAGACCUUUAACUCUUACAUUCUAAAGGCAAGAGACCUUACUUAUUGAUAUGUUAGAGGAUAUUCGUACUAUGAUCAUGACAAGGCUAUAUGAGCUCUCAACUAGCAUGUCUAAAAGUCAUCAUUCCUCUGAUCCACCAUGUCCCAAUAUUAGGAAAAAAUUGAAUAAGCUUCAAGGUUUAGUGAGAUUUUGUGAUGUGAGGCCGGCUGUUGGGAAUAAAUUCGAGGUGCAUAUGAAUGAUGACACACACGUUGUAUCUUUGAUUGAUUGUGAUUGCACAUGUAGAGCAUGGGAGUUGACAGGUAUUCCGUGUUGUCACGCUUUAAGUUGCAUAUUUCACAACAGAGAUGAUCCUGUGCCUUUCAUUGAUCGGUUUUACUAUAAAACCAACGUGGAAUGUACAACUUUGGUUUGAACCUCUCGGGGAUAUAAGUCGUGGCCGUUGUGACGAAUCGCCUAUCUUACCUCCUAAAUAUUCAAGAUCAACACGAAGGCCAAAGAAGCGUGGAUUAGAGGGCUUGAUGACCAACAAAAUACUAAAGACAAAAUGUCGAUCGUGGUUUAGCAUGUCUUACAAGAACUGGGUGGAUUUGAUCACAAUAAGAGAACGUGUAAAGAGCCCAAAAUGCCACAGGUUAGUCUUUUAAGUUAAGGGAUGUCAUAUUCUAUAGUUGGUGAAAAUUGAAUAUAAUGUCACAAUAAUAUAUGAUUUUUGUUUAAGAAAAUGAGAGCUCAACCGAAGGCAGUAUGCCACAAGCCGAGGGCAGCCGACCCACAAGCCUAGAGCGCCGAGGGCACCGAAGGGCAGCGAGGGCAGCCGACCCACAAGCCUAAAGCACCAAGGGCAUUAAAGGGCAGCGAACCACAAGCUGAGGGCACCGAGGGCAGCCGAGCUCAUCCGAGGGUAGCCGAAGGCAGCGGGCCACGAGGUAGGCAGCCGAGAGAGCCUCCAAGUUCAAUGUUUCAGCCUCCAAAGCCUAACAAUCUAGCCAAGUUUGUCAAGCAGAGAGAGAUUUGCACAGUAUGUAUCUAAGUUCAAUUUGUUGCAAUUUUGUCAAAUUAAGUUACAAAUGCUAUACUUAAUCGAACAUCCUUCAGGCACGACAAGGAUAUGGCGCAUUAGUAUCUCCCGAGACUGGAAAUAUUUAUCUUCGGGUAUGUAUUACUUUAAGAUUUUUUAAGCUAUGUGAAAUAUGCAUAUCUUAAUGUAUUAUUUCAGGAACCUGCGACACGGCGUGUACAAUUUGUCAGUGGUUACAAUGCUACUCAACGGGCUGCUCGACCUCCAAAAAAGAAGAAGAAUACAGUGGAUAGCACUCCGGGAUCGCAAAGAAGCCAAGUGGAUGAUCCAACCCCUCAUUAGUUGCAUCUUUUGGGUUUUUUUUGGUUAGCCAAGUUUUAGGCUUUUUGAUGAAACUUAUCAAUUGGAUGAAACUUGUCAUUUUGAUGCUUAGCCAAGUUUAGGCUUUUUAGACUAAGGGGAGGUGUAUUAGUUCAAGACUUAUGUAGAUUUUAAAAGUCUAUAGAAUUCUCACGGAUUCUUCAUGAUUUUGAAUGAAUUCUUGGUCGGAUUUUUAAUGAAUUAGCAAGAAUUUAUCGUGAUUUUCUCAGAGUUGAAAUCCACAAAGCCAGCGGGUGUGGAGACCUCGUGAGCGCUUGAGGCCCAGCGCUCGUUGAAGCCCAGCGACCGCUGGAUACUUGAAAUUUCAAUACCCAGCGUUGGACACCCAGCGCUCGCUGAGUCCCAGCGACUGCUAGGGUCUAGCGGCCAUCGUUGUAGCUCCUCCAUCAGCGGCUGCUAGGUGCCAGCCGGCGCUGGCUUCUUCAGCCGCGUCCACUAGUACCCAGCGAGCGCUGGAAACUCUCAAGAUUUGAAUUCUCGUGGUCCGAGCUCGAAUUUGUUCAUGUGUAUUUUUUGAAUGAAAUCCAUGGAAAUCAGUCCAAUGUUAAAAUCCGUAGAUUUUUAAAUACACCCAGAUUUUCAUAGACUUUUAAAAGUCUUAAACGAAUACACUCAGAUUUAAAAAGUCUGCAGAAAUCUAUUAAAAUCUUGAACUAAUACACCCCCCUAAGUUUAGAAGUUUGAGCAAAAUUGUCAUUUUGAGUACUAUGUUAUCCAGUUUGAUAUUUCAUGAAUGAGAAAUUUGUAUCACAUUCACUAAUUAUUCUUGGAGUACAGAAUUUUGUUACUUUGUGUUUCUGCACCACCAUUAGUCUUCUUCUUUUUAUAUCACAUUCACUAAUUAUUCCCUAAUUAUUCUUGGAGUGCAGAAUUUUGUAUCGAAUAAUUACGAUAUAAUUAAAAUGUAACAGCUUCUAGCAUUUCAUUUACAUUAACUCAGACAUGAAAGUGAUGCAGCAACUCAAUGAAGCAUACAUUAUGAAGUUUUUGUGAUGAAAGUCUAAAUUUCAUUAAACAUAACAUUUACAUAGGAAGACGACGUCGGGUGUCCGAUACAAACUCAACUUGACCUACGGAAAUCCAAAGCAUCAAAAACACAUAUGUUACAAUCAAUACAAAACACAAAGUAUGAAGUCUACACUUCGUCUCCUUCAAAGACUUCUUCAAUGACCUAUUUUCAACACGAUACUUAUGCAUCUUCAACUCUAGGUCGUCCUUCAAUUCUUGAAGUUUCUCGGUUGCAACCUUUUGCUCCUUCUCAACCAAUACGUUGCUUUUCCAUAUGCAAUGUAGUAGAGCCGAUUUCGCUCUUCCAUCGAACGGCUCAUCGUACCACACAAAAUACUUGCAAUCACCCGGCUAAAUUAACAAAUACUUUGACAAUUACAUAGAAUUGGACAACAAAAAAUUUGACUUCAAAGAAAAAAAUGGAACUUUAACGAAAUUGAAGAAGAAGAAAAAAAAAACUACCAAAUUUCCAAAUUGACAUCUCUAAAACCUCCUACCUGGAUUAGUUGUACUAAAUGAUCGAAUGAGAUUACAUUCUCCAUGAAUGCAGUACUUUCUCUCAAAUGAAUUCACGGACUCCUCACUGUAAGAGUUCUCCAUUUUUUGAUCUAGGUUGAGAGAUUUUUAUCAAGAAAUUGAAGAUUGAAUACGAUAUAAGAGAGAGGGGAAGAAGAGCGCCGCGUCUGAAACUAGGGCAAAUGAUGAAAUUUGGAGAAGAGUGGUGCGUCUGAAUUUUUCUUACGCAGAGGAGAAGAAAAAUGGCUGAAACAGUGCCGUUUAGGGCUUUUUAAAUGGCUGCAAAAAAAAAAAAAUUCCACUUAGAUUACAUGAGUCCACGUGGAUAUGACAUGGUGUAAGUCCGGUGAUUCACGUAAGUUUCCGAUUCCCGAAUUUUUUUUGCAGGACACAGAUGAUAUUUUUGUGAUAGGUUAGUGAUCACUAAUUUCUUAGCAACAAAAACUGCAACUAACAGGCAAUUGUAGCGAAUAAUAAGUAACCGAGUAUCGUAUCCACAGGGACUAUUAUAACGAAUCACUCUAAGUAAUCCUAACUAAAUUCUAGUAAUAUUCAGGCAAACGAAAGUAGGAAGGUUUAAUUAACACUAAACUCAAAAAGUAGCAAAUAAAAGCACGUAGAAGAAUCAAAUAUAAAAGACAACUGAUCCUAGGGUAGUAAAUUCAUUAACUAAAUCUAUGCAAUAAAUCUAUUAAUCCUAUGUACCAAUUUAAUCCAGCUAUGAUGAGAGAUCACUUAAUUAAUCAAUUACUCUCGCUAGAGCAGCAACGAUCGUAGAUUAGUAAAUUAUCUAUCUCCGUUAGGUCUCAAGAAAAUCUACUAACUCCCAAAAGCUCUUAAGAAUAGCUCCCUAUGAUCCACCUAUCUCCGCUAGGUCUCAAGGUUAAAAUCAUAUCAUACAUUCCUGAAUCCGCGAAACAGUUAUCUCCGCUAGGUCUCAAACCGAAUAGCUACACAUGCAAACUAUUGAUCAGAUAAUUCACAAGAAAUCAAGCACCAGGAAUUAUGAAUCAUAAACUGGAAGGCACAAAGGUAUUAACAAAAAAAUCACAUAAAUUCAAUAAACUAUUUACAAACCCUAGAAUCAGCUAAAAGAGACUAGCCAGACAUAAUAAAAGAAAGCAUAAACAUAAUUAAAAAGAAAGCAAUUGUAAAAACUAAAUUAAAUAAAAACUGAAUGAAAACAAUUGUAGCGGCUUGAAUCUUCAAUCUUGAUCCAAGCCUUGAAAACUAGAAAGCAAUGAAAUUCUAAAGCUAUAAAACUGAAAUAUGAAUGCUAGGGUUUUCGGGUUGGUCCCCUCAAUAGGUCAAAAGAGGACCUAUUUAUAGAUUUCAGAUUUCCUUCGGAUCACCAUGAAAGUUGCCAUGCAAAGUAGAAUUCUAAAGGUAAUAGAAUCGUGUGAAAUAAGGCAACUCUCCAGCUGGAUGCGCGCUCCGGAAAAUACUCCUACUCCCGCCGAAUUCGCAACUCUCGCCAGAGGAACGGAUGUCACCAGGGUAACGGGUCACGCCAGAGGAAUGGAUGAUUUCUCUGACCUCGCCAGAGAAAUGAGUCGCCAGCGGAAUGGGUUGCCAGCGGAAUGGUGAUUUCUCUGGCUUCUCGAUUCCGCUGUAAUGGACAUUGCGAUUCCGCUGUAAUGGCUUCUCUCCCCUCUGCUCUGACUUAUUUCUUUGCUCUAACUCUCACUUGGCUGCUUUGAUUAUUGACUCCUCUGGUGAUGACUUCGUUACACUGGCUUCUUGAUUUCGCUGAUUCCAGAUAAAUGGUGAUUUCUCUGGCGAUUGAUUCCGCUGCACUGGAGACUUGAGGUCUUUGAUUUCUCUGACUCCAGAGGAAUGAUGAUUUCUCUGCUUUGGAGACUCCGGUUCCUCUGCUCUGGAGACCAGAACACCUAGAAAACGCCAAAUUCAUCCAAAAUUCUCCAAAACUGCAUUCUUCUAUCUCGAAAGCCUAAAUCUUCUGCAAAGCAUAAAAUACACCAUAAACGCACCAAUUUCCAGAAGAUUAUCUUAAAACAUGCACAUACAAACCCUUAAAAAUAGAGUAAAUUAAACAUAAAUCAGUUAGGUAUCAUUUUGAUAUUAUCGUUAGGGUGGGAUAUUUUUGAGAAUUCGUUGAAACGAUGGAACAAAAAGUGACCUUUACCCUAUAAUUAAUUAUCGAUGACACUUUCUUCAAUUACAAUGCAAUAAUUAUUUUUAUUAAAACUUGUGUCGUCCACCUUUAGGUCAACGAUGUAAAGGAUUAUUUGGACGGAAGAAGUAUAACUUUAUAUUCACCAUAAUAAUAAUAAAAAAAAUAUUUAUCUCAAAUUUCUCAAAAUCUCUUAUCUUUUAAAUGUCAUUAUUUUAUUAAAAUUUAUAAGCCUAAAGAAAAGAAGCCUAUUAACUCUUGGUUAGAAGAGAAAAAAAGCCCAACACAAACAAAUAAGCCAACUAUUUAAAUAACCAAACCUAAUAUAUCAACCCAUUUAAAAUAAUUUUCUGUUUAUCUUUAUUCUUUUUUAUUUUUCUUUCCCUUUUCUAUCCUACAUCUCUCGAUUCUUCUUCUCUCUCCCUCUCUCACUCUUUCUCUUCUCCCUCAAAAAGAAAUCAGGAUAUCUCUCUGCCUCUCUCCUUCUUGCUCUCGCCGCCUCCCUGCCUCCCUCCGUUCGCCGUCGACCACACUCAUCUCUCUAUCACAAAUUUAUGAGACUGCAACUUCCAUAACCACAAGUGAUAUUUGGGCCGCCCUGAAAUGGCCCAAUCAGACUCAACCCGGUUAUCGAGCCGCGUUUGAAUAUGCACAAUUUUGUCUACUCAAAUUGUUCACCAAUAUUUUUCGGUCUACGACUUAUAUAAAACUACUUGGAAUUCGUCAAGCCCUUACCGUGCGUCGUCUACGCUACCGCACCGGAGGCCGCCGUUAAUCGGUGAGGUUUACUUGCUGUCGCGAUUUUGAAUUAUUUGCCCUAAUUUAUGAAUUUGAGAUUUUGAUUUUGGCUGUGAUUAUUGUUUGUUCGGAGUUAACUUUUCCUUAUUUUCUUACUUUUGCGUCUUUGGUUUGAAUCGAGCAUGUGCAAGUAGAAUUAAACUUUAAGUUUUCUAAAAGAUUGUAGUUUUUCGAACAUCGACAAGUACUUUCCAGCUUUUCUACAGGCAUGAGCAGGUCUUCUUCUAUGAAGUCCUUAAAAAUGGUCUCUUAUCCGAUGUACUUAGGUCUUUGAUAAACCCUAAAUUCGUUAUAUUUUUGUUCGUGUUCUUUCUUGUUUUUCUUUAAACGUAUUUCUUCUGGGUCCAAUUCUUGUUGCAAUAGAUUACUUUUUGGUUCACACCUCUCCUUUCUUUUGCCCGAGUUUCAACAUUCUUGUUACCCCCAUUGGGGUAAUGAUGCAAAGGCUAAAGAUGUAUGUGUUUUGAAGCAAGGUCUUUAAUUUUGUUCUCUUACCCAAAACCAGUCAUUGACUUUGAUGUGUUUAUCUUUCAUAUCCUGUUCGCUUUGGUAAUGCAUAAGUGGAAGAUUUGAUGAGGAUGGCCAUAAUUUAAUUUAAUUAGGUUUUCAAAAUAGCAAACGUAAUUUAUCCCCAAUAUGCUUCUGAUGGGGUUGUGCCUUGUACUGUUUUGGGUUUUUCUUUUGUAGUUAGAUUAACUUAUUUGCUCUCCUGUCAUACAGGAAAAGAAUCUUCUGUUGCUGCAUAUGCACAUUGUAUAGAAUACUGUCCAUUUCUGAGAUCUAGAUAUUGGUACGUGGAGAAAGUCCAAUUACUUAGUUAUGUCUAUGUUUUGUAACGAUCCAUUCAAUUUGGAAUAUUUAGUCCGAACACUGAUGAGAUGACCGAGAUAUGAAUGUUGGAAAGGAUAAGCAGUGGAAUUUUGUGUCUUAGGUUUCCCGUUUCUGUUUGUUCAUCAGUUCUAUGUUGUGGGUUAAUUGCUAGUUAGAUAUUUGUACAUUUUGCAUGUUGCCUAGGCUAUGGAAGUUUCUGGGAUGAAUUUCAGUCACUUUUUCUGUAAAUUUGCCUAUAGAGAGCGUGUGGACAAAGCAAUCUUUGCAUAUGCAAUCAGUGACAUGAUAUAUCAUUUGUAGCAAAGUCUAUAAAAUCAGUUAAUCUGGAAACUGUUUUUAGUUGUACAGAUCCUACAGAGCUAUUGGGUUAAUAAUAGUAAAUUAUCUCUUAAUAACUGCCUGAACAAUUGUGUCAAGUCAUUGUUAGAAAUUGUCCUUCACCAAUUUUCAGUUAAAUAAGAUCUGUAGGAGGGUGCUUGUUUGGGAACUUAAGUAUGCAUCUUUAGAAUCCAAGUUCCUGUAUUUUGUUCGUAUGGAAAUUUUGGAAACCAAUGAUCUCAAUUCUAAAUUCAUAUAUGAUUUAGCAUCUACACUGAAAUCUUCUCUAAUUUUUCCAACAAAUAUUAAUUCUUACUUACAUGAUUAUUCUCCCCACCAUAGUUAUUAAUAGCGCAGAUCGUGCUCGCGAUAGCGCACCGCGUCGUGUCUCGCACGCAGAUCGCUCUGCAUUGCGAUUAAGAGGUUAAUGCUGAAUAGCGAGCUCUAUUCGCGCUAUUUCCCGAUCGCGCAUCGAACUAAAUAGCGCGCUAUUGAACAAUUUUCUGCAUGGCUAGUAUUAUAUACUGCAUGGGUUUGGGGUUUUAAUAUUUAAUUAGGGUUUAAAGUUAAAGAUAACAUAUAAAUUAAGUUUGAUAUGACCGACCAACUCCAACUGCAUGACAGACUCUUCGCUUCUUCUUUUCUUUUAAAGUUAAUCGUUUCUGUUUCUUUCUUCCUCUAAUCCCAAGCGACAGACAGAUUCUUUGGUUCUUGAAGAACCGUUCUUCACUUCUUCUUCCUAAUCUCUUCAGGCUCUUCUCAUAUUCAUCAUUUCUUCUUUCUCUCCUUUUGUCAUAUUCAGUUUCUAUUUUAUGUCAAGUUCAACUAGUGAAAAAGAUAAGGAUGUAGGAUGGUUGCAUGGAACUAUGGUCGAGCCAAACAACACAAAAAUCUUACUUGGUUCGGAGGAUGAGGAUGAUGAUUAGAGGCUUUAAUAUAAUUAGAUAUAUUUUUUUUUUAAAUUAAGAUUUUUUGACUUCAUCUUUUUAUUAACUAGACUUAUGCAUGUUUUAUUAUGAUUAUGAUAUACUAUAUGUUUUAUAUAUUUCUGCGCGAUAUAUUCAAAUAGUGCGCGCGUCUCGUGAUGCUCGAUGCGCGAUAGCGCUAGGAUAGCUUUACGCGAUGCGCGAUUAAUAACUAUGCUCCCCACAGUUUUUCCAUCUACAUCAGAGUUCUCUCUCAAAUUCUUUAACAAAGACUAAUAUCUACUGUCAAAUAAAUUAUAUCAAGUCUAGAACACUCAGUUGUCCUAAAUCCCAGUGAAACACACCUGCUGCUUGAUUUUCUGUAUAAGCUUUGAUUUUCCGGUUGCAUCUCCUAUUUCUGCUCUAGCUCUCUGUAUGUAUUAGCAAUUCAGAAGCUAAGUCACUAUUCAGCCAUUUUUUUUCUCAGUUUUGGUUCAGUGAAGGCGCCGGCCGUUGAAUAUUCUAUAAAAAAAUUAUAAAAAGAAAGAAACUGGUGUUGAUCAUACUGCGAAUGUGUGUUUGAUUUUUUAUAGUGCCAGAUUCAUGAAAUAUUUUGGUGCCCUUAUAUUGUCUUUUGAUGAUCUUUGUUCUUGGGUUCUACACUGUAUCUAUUUGUAUUCUUUUUCUAACUUACACUGAUAUAUGCAUGUUUACUCCACUUUGAUUUUACUAUCAUGUUAGUUUCGAGUGGAAGUUGACGUAUGAGGACUCUCGGAUGAUUUGACCUGAUUAUGUUAGAUUAAGAGACCUCGUCCGUAUUCCUUCAAGACUUUUGGUGGGAGAAAGGAACUGCAUAUGGCUAGUCAGUUGGCUGGUGAGCCUUCCUCCUCUGCACCUGAUGGAAAUUUUAAGGCUUCUCAGGAGAAACCAGAAGAAGUUGGUGAGCAAUGGUAUUUUUCAAGGAAGGAACUUGAAGAGAAUUCCCCUUCUAGACGGGAUGGCAUUGAUUUGAAGAAAGAAACUUACCUGCGCAAAUCAUAUUGCACAUUCUUACAAGAUCUAGGCAUGCGGCUUAAAGUGUAAGUUGUCUCCGGAUGCUUUUGUAGUUUUCAUAUUUUAAUAACGGUGCCUGUAGAUUAUUUAUUUACGUGAUAGCUGUUGUUGCUCCAGUUAUGUGUUGGCUUCUCCUUUUGUUUGAAUUGUGAAGGGGGUAUAAGAAUGCAUGUCCUUGUUCCAUUGUCAGGUUAGUAAGUUGUGAAUAAUAAUGAGGUUCAAUUAAUGCUCACUGAUCUUGUUUUGUGAAAUAUUUCAUCUCAUUAUUUUUUGAGGAAGAAAUAUUUCAUCUCAUUAAUUGUAAAUGAGCCAAAUUGUUGUGAAUUUGUGUUUCUUAGUGAAUGAAUAGAUGACAAGGUUUAGGUUUCCUCGAAUUUGUCACUUUGGUCCUAUCAAGGAAUUUUAAGAUCAGGAAGUUUUUAGUUUGCGUGCAACGAACACAUUGAAAUAUUGUAAUAGUUCUCUGUACUGAUGUUAUCUAUCCUGCUAUAGUUAUUGUGUUAUUUGAAUGCAUUUUAGUUCUGCAAUCAAAUACUACACUACCUGUGCAAUUUGCUUUAAUGCACUGCUGGACCCUUCAUGAUGCAGGCCUCAGGUGACGAUUGCUACUGCAAUUAUAUUUUGUCAUCGUUUCUUUCUUCGUCAGUCCCACGCGAAAAAUGAUAGAAGGGUGAGUGAAUUUUAAUUUUCAACUUCCUCCGUCCACAGAGUAUACAACAAUUGCCUUACUUGACGUCCACGAAGAGUAUACUUCGUUUCCUUUUUUAGGACAUUACCCAACACUCUUCUUUUAUUUCAACCAUACAAAUACCCCUUAUUUACCAAAAACCCACCCCAUGGCCCACAGUCAAUCCUUAUAAUUCAACCCCAACCACUCAUUUCUACAUGGUGGGACCUUUUAUCCACUAAAAAUACUCAUUUCUACUCGUGCGGAACCAAUGUUGUGUACUCUUUGUGGAUGGAAGGAGUAUUAUUUUUUUAUAAUGAUGAUUUUUUUUUUCAAAAUACUUCUGUUGAUCACUAAUAUAUAGAUUGUGGAAGUGAAUGCUAUCUUGCUGAUCGAAUAUCUAAAUAUAACACUCUUUUUUCAGUAAAGAAUUAAUUAGAGUUCAGUGCAAUAAUAUAUAGUGGAUAGCGUGUUAUAUACCAUUCUUAUUGUAAGUUUGGAACUGGGGCCAUCUAUCAGCAAUAAAGAAGUGUAGUUCAUUUUCUUAUUUGUCGUGCUUCUUAAAUAUUUAACCUGAUAUAGCAACAUCUGGGAAUUACCAGAAAUCAUCAACUAUACAACUGUUAUUGUCAACUGUUUUUAAUGUUUGUUCUGCAUAUAAUCAUUUAUUACAAAUUUGUCAACCAAUGCCAAGGCCUUAAUCAAAUGCUAAAACAUAUUCAGAGGAAUAGUUACUGAUCUGUUAGGUAGUAUUUUUUUCUAAGUUGGUUGUAUUUCUUUACAGUUAAUGUUCAUAUGACAACAAUUGUUUAUUCUAUACUUGGAACUUACCACAUAUAAUAAUAGGCUUAAUCACUGAGUUUGUCUCUAGUCUGUUCUGUAUGUGUUCGGUUGUAGUGUUUGUCGACCCAGUUAUGAUAACUAAGAAUAAUAAAUAGAUAAUACAAAGACACACACACAAAAUAAAUAAAACAAACAUGCGGGACCCGGUUUGAUAAUAUUGAAUUUUUGUGUUGAACUAAAACUUUUAUGCUGCUUGCUGUAUAUAUCGAUUUUAAAAGCUGAUGUAUCUGCUUGUUUUUGCAGACAUUGCCACGUAUGCAUGUUUCUAGCGGGUAAGGUUGAAGAAACUCCUCGUCCUCUUAAAGAUGUAAUUCUAGUGUCGUAUGAGAUUACUCACAAAAAAGAUCCUGCUGCUGUGCAAAGGAUAAAGCAAAAGGUGCCGAACAUUGCUCAUCUCUCUUGUUGGCUUGAUACUAGCCUGAUUCUUUUUUCAUUCAAUUUUGCCCUUCAUGCCUUCCACAUGCUUAUGGCUUUAAAGGUAUAAUGCUUAAAUCUGCAUGGACUCACACACACACACAGAAUAUAUGACAUUACUAUAAAGGAAAUUUUGGAAUUUCUUUUAUGCAUCCGUUAUUUGAUAAUGGGUCAUCUGUACAGGAGGUGUAUGAGCAGCAAAAGGAAUUUACUCUAUUGGGAGAAAGAGUUGUUCUUGGAACACUCGGUUAUGAUCUCAACGUACACCAUCCUUAUAAGCCCCUUGUUGAGGCAAUAAAAAAAUUCAAGGUGGCUCAAAAUGCCCUAGCGCAAGUUGCAUGGAACUUUGUAAAUGAUGGGUAUGAUGCACUCACAUAGUUAUAAAUUAGCGCUUAUCCUUGGCCAUCCUACCUUUUUCACCUUUUGACCCGAGAAAGCGGCUUGCAGGCUUCGGACAUCUCUCUGCCUGCAAUUUAAGCCUCAUCACAUUGCAGCAGGUGCCUAUUUUCCUUGCUGCCUAAGUUUCUUAAAGUAAAGCUUCCACAUGAUGGUGAGUAAGGUUUGGUGGCAGGAGUUUGAUGUCACCCCACGCCAAUUAGAGGGUUGGAACCCUAUCUGCCUUUGAUUGCAUGUACAGAUUGAACUCAUAAUGCUAAAUAGUACAAGCAUCAUGCUAAUCAGUAACUAUUCCUCCUUCACUAGACUGUUUCAAAUGUGAGAAGAUGGUUUAUCUAGUUUGCAUGCUUUUUUUACCUUAUAUUUCAGGCAUAAAUGGAGAGAAAGUGGAGGGUCAAUGAUGAUUCAACUAUUGCAGUGAUUUUAUAUAUCUGCUAAUUUGUGGAUCUUAUACAAUGUUUCCCUUUUAAUAGGUAUUUUUUCCUUGUCAGAGGUUAGCAACCAGAUGCUGGAGUUGUAUGAACAAAACAGAGUGCCACCAUCACAGGCUAGUGAAGCAGAGGGUAGUGCUGGAGACAGUCAACGACUUCCAUCUAAAGCUCUAGCAAACGAAGGACAUGAUACUGGUUAUAAUUCCUUCCAUGGCGGAGCUACUUCAAAGAUGUCCUUGAAGCCAGCACCAUCAAGGCCAGGCUCGGAUGGACACCAUAAUCGAAGUGGACCUCCUGGGGUUAAUCAAAGUGAGGAAUAAUGAAUAUGGAAGUUCUGAAAAUAAUAGUAUUUCAGAUCAUCGGGGAGAAGAUGAGAUUCAUGAUCGAGAGGUCAUGCCUCAACUAAGGGAACUCAGCGGAGACUCAAAAUAAAUCAAAACUUGGGCAUGGAGAUGAAGAUCAUGAAAGGGAUGCAGUUGAACCAAAGGAUAAAUAUCAUGUAAAAAAUGUGUCUAACAAGGAUGAUUCAGCUGGUCAGUUACCUCAAGAUUCUACUAAAAAGCUGGACAAGGAGAAGAUUAAAGCUGCCUUGUUCGAGAGAAGGAAAGUUCGGGGAGAUAUAAUUCGUAAAAUAGAUCCCGUGGACGAGCUUGAGAGGGAACUGGAAGAUGUGGAAGUCCCAGGCGACAGCGAUAAGACUAAACGCGAAAGAAAGCAAAGCUGGCCCAAGCCUUCAAGGCCAGAGCUUGAG
RNAcentral lists this long non-coding RNA (20995 nucleotides) under Salvia miltiorrhiza (redroot sage). Its description in RNAcentral is "long non-coding RNA (SMIL_LNC011196)". Lineage: Eukaryota; Viridiplantae; Streptophyta; Magnoliopsida; Lamiales; Lamiaceae. The record is from RNAcentral.